GGGGAAUAUUGCGCAAUGGGGGGAACCCUGACGCAGCGACGCCGCGUGAGCGACGAAGGCCUUCGGGUCGUAAAGCUCUGUUCUUGGGGACGAAGGAUAUGACGGUACCCAAGGAGAAAGCCCCGGCUAACUACGUGCCAGCAGCCGCGGUAAUACGGAGGGGGCGAGCGUUGUCCGGAAUUACUGGGCGUAAAGGGCGUGUAGGCGGCUGUGUAUGUCAGGUGUGAAAAGCCAGAGCUUAACUGUGGCAUUGCACAUGAAACUGCGCAGCUUGAGUGCAGGAGAGGGAAGUGGAAUUCCUAGUGUAGCGGUGAAAUGCGUAGAUAUUAGGAGGAACACCAGUGGCGAAGGCGACUUCCUGGACUGUAACUGACGCUGAGGCGCGAAAGCGUGGGUAGCGAAC
This 403-nucleotide ribosomal RNA is filed under the name uncultured bacterium. RNAcentral's name for it is "bacterial SSU rRNA". It matches the Rfam family "Bacterial small subunit ribosomal RNA", at positions 356 to 773 of the family's 1533-position model. The record is from RNAcentral.